GGGGAAUAUUGGACAAUGGGCGCAAGCCUGAUCCAGCCAUACCGCGUGGGUGAAGAAGGCCUUCGGGUUGUAAAGCCCUUUUGUUGGGAAAGAAAUCCUGUCGGUUAAUAACCGGUGGGGAUGACGGUACCCAAAGAAUAAGCACCGGCUAACUUCGUGCCAGCAGCCGCGGUAAUACGAAGGGUGCAAGCGUUACUCGGAAUUACUGGGCGUAAAGCGUGCGUAGGUGGUGGUUUAAGUCUGCUGUGAAAGCCCUGGGCUCAACCUGGGAAUUGCAGUGGAUACUGGAUCACUAGAGUGUGGUAGAGGGAUGCGGAAUUUCUGGUGUAGCAGUGAAAUGCGUAGAGAUCAGAAGGAACAUCCGUGGCGAAGGCGGCAUCCUGGGCCAACACUGACACUGAGGCACGAAAGCGUGGGGAGCAAACA
Molecule: ribosomal RNA, 426 nt
Filed under: Brucella melitensis
Lineage: Bacteria; Pseudomonadati; Pseudomonadota; Alphaproteobacteria; Hyphomicrobiales; Brucellaceae
Also listed under: 1 other name
Description: partial 16S ribosomal RNA
Rfam family: Bacterial small subunit ribosomal RNA
Source: RNAcentral